RNAcentral lists this ribosomal RNA (253 nucleotides) under uncultured bacterium. RNAcentral describes it as "partial 16S ribosomal RNA". It matches the Rfam family "Bacterial small subunit ribosomal RNA", at positions 524 to 776 of the family's 1533-position model. The record is from RNAcentral.
UACGUAGGUGGCGAGCGUUGUCCGGAUUUACUGGGCGUAAAGAGCGCGCAGGCGGUCGUUCAAGUCGCGUGUGAAAGCCCCCGGCUCAACUGGGGAGGGUCACGCGAUACUGAUCGACUCGAAGGCAGGAGAGGGUAGUGGAAUUCCCGGUGUAGUGGUGAAAUGCGUAGAUAUCGGGAGGAACACCAGUGGCGAAGGCGACUACCUGGCCUGUUCUUGACACUGAGGCGCGACAGCGUGGGGAGCAAACAGG